CUUCUCUUGUGUUUUUUUGAGGUAUGGCCUGCCCGCUGAUUUUUUUUGAAGGGCCGCGGUAUCUUGACCGUGCAAAGGUAGCAUAAUCAUUAGUCUUUUAAUUGUGGGCUGGAAUGAAUGGUUUGACGAGAUAUAAUCUGUCUCUUUUUGAUUUAUUGAAUUUUGGUUUUAGGUAAGAAUACCUAAAUUUUUUUAUGGGACGAGAAGACCCUAUAGAGUUUUAUAUUUAUGAUGAUUUUUUUGUUGGUUUUUCUUUAUAUUGUUUUUUUUAUUUUGCUGGGGCGGCUAGGAGAUUUAUUUAACUCUUCUUUUAUUUUUUUAUUUAUUUAUAUUUUUUUGAUCCUUUAUUAUUGAUUUUAAGAUUAAAUUACC
This 372-nucleotide ribosomal RNA is filed under the name Zootermopsis angusticollis (Pacific dampwood termite). RNAcentral describes it as "partial large subunit ribosomal RNA". The record is from RNAcentral. Lineage: Eukaryota; Metazoa; Arthropoda; Insecta; Blattodea; Termopsidae.